GUCUUUUGGUUUUUGUUUUGUAUUUGUGUGUGUUUUUAAUGGAGGGAGGUUAAAGGGUUGUUUUUGGUAAAAGGGGGUGCGUUGGGAGAAGGGGCGCAGAGGCGCAGAGACGCAGGGAGACCCUACGCUUCGCGCUCGACGCCACGACGCCCAACCGCAUAACGUCCACAAAGGAGGGGUGUGUGUGUGUAAGAAAGAAUGAAAUUCUUUGAUGAUCCUUCCGCAGGUUCACCUACGGAAA
This 241-nucleotide unclassified non-coding RNA is filed under the name uncultured fungus. Its description in RNAcentral is "sequence contains ITS1". The record is from RNAcentral. Lineage: Eukaryota; Fungi.